GAUGAACGCUGGCGGCGUGCCUAAUACAUGCAAGUCGAGCGAACAGACGAGGAGCUUGCUCCUCUGACGUUAGCGGCGGACGGGUGAGUAACACGUGGAUAACCUACCUAUAAGACUGGGAUAACUUCGGGAAACCGGAGCUAAUACCGGAUAAUAUAUUGAACCGCAUGGUUCAAUAGUGAAAGACGGCUUUGCUGUCACUUAUAGAUGGAUCCGCGCCGCAUUAGCUAGUUGGUCAGGUAACGGCUUACCAAGGCAACGAUCCGUAGCCGACCUGAGAGGGUGAUCGGCCACACUGGAACUGAGACACGGUCCAGACUCCUACGGGAGGCAGCAGUAGGGAAUCUUCCGCAAUGGGCGAAAGCUUGACGGAGCAACGCCGCGUGAGUGAUGAAGGUCUUCGGAUCGUAAAGCUCUGUUAUUAGGGAAGAACAAAUGUGUAAGUAACUAUGCACGUCUUGACGGUACCUAAUCAGAAAGCCACGGCUAACUACGUG
Molecule: ribosomal RNA, 497 nt
Filed under: uncultured bacterium
Lineage: Bacteria
Description: partial 16S ribosomal RNA
Rfam family: Bacterial small subunit ribosomal RNA
Source: RNAcentral